UCGUACGCUUCUUUUUCCACCGGAGCUUGCUCCACCGGAAAAAGAAGAGUGGCGAACGGGUGAGUAACACGUGGGUAACCUGCCCAUCAGAAGGGGAUAACACUUGGAAACAGGUGCUAAUACCGUAUAACAAUCGAAACCGCAUGGUUUUGAUUUGAAAGGCGCUUUCGGGUGUCGCUGAUGGAUGGACCCGCGGUGCAUUAGCUAGUUGGUGAGGUAACGGCUCACCAAGGCCACGAUGCAUAGCCGACCUGAGAGGGUGAUCGGCCACAUUGGGACUGAGACACGGCCCAAACUCCUACGGGAGGCAGCAGUAGGGAAUCUUCGGCAAUGGACGAAAGUCUGACCGAGCAACGCCGCGUGAGUGAAGAAGGUUUUCGGAUCGUAAAACUCUGUUGUUAGAGAAGAACAAGGAUGAGAGUAACUGUUCAUCCCUUGACGGUAUCUAACCAGAAAGCCACGGCUAACUACGUGCCAGCAGCCGCGGUAAUACGUAGGUGGCAAGCGUUGUCCGGAUUUAUUGGGCGUAAAGCGAGCGCAGGCGGUUUCUUAAGUCUGAUGUGAAAGCCCCCCGGCUCACCCGGGGAGGGUCAUUGUUAAACU
RNAcentral lists this ribosomal RNA (603 nucleotides) under Enterococcus durans. RNAcentral's name for it is "bacterial SSU rRNA". It matches the Rfam family "Bacterial small subunit ribosomal RNA", at positions 62 to 634 of the family's 1533-position model. The record is from RNAcentral. Lineage: Bacteria; Bacillati; Bacillota; Bacilli; Lactobacillales; Enterococcaceae.